CUGGNCAGUUACUGACGCUGAGGAGCGAAAGCAUGGGGAGCGAACAGGAUUAGAUACCCUGGUAGUCCAUGCUGUAAACGGUGGGCGCUAGGUGUGGGCUGUGUGUUUGCAGUCUGUGCCGUAGCUAACGCAUUAAGCGCCCCGCCUGGGGAGUACGGCCGCAAGGCUAAAACUCAAAGGAAUUGACGGGGGCCCGCACAAGCGGCGGAGCAUGUGGAUUAAUUCGAUGCAACGCGAAGAACCUUACCUGGGUUGGACAUGCACCAGAUCGGCGUAGAGAUACGUCCUCCCUUGUGGUUGGUGCACAGGUGGUGCAUGGUUGUCGUCAGCUCGUGUCGUGAGAUGUUGGGUUAAGUCCCGCAACGAGCGCAACCCUUGUCUUAUGUUGCCAGCACAUUUUUGGUGGGGACUCAUGAGAAACUGCCGGGGUCAACUCGGAGGAAGGUGGGGAUGACGUCAAAUCAUCAUGCCCUUUAUACCCAGGGCUUCACACAUGCUACAAUGGUCGGUACAACGGGUUGCGACACUGUGAAGUGAAGCUAAUCUCUUAAAGCCGGCCUCAGUUCGGAUUGGGGUCUGCAACUCGACCCCAUGAAGUCGGAGUCGCUAGUAAUCGCAGAUCAGCAACGCUGCGGUGAAUACGUUCCCGGGCCUUGUACACACCGCCCGUCACGUCAUGAAAGUUGGUAACACCCGAAGCCCAUGGCCUAA
RNAcentral lists this ribosomal RNA (711 nucleotides) under uncultured bacterium. RNAcentral's name for it is "bacterial SSU rRNA". It matches the Rfam family "Bacterial small subunit ribosomal RNA", at positions 729 to 1438 of the family's 1533-position model. The record is from RNAcentral.